Molecule: transfer RNA, 128 nt
Filed under: Penicillium paxilli ATCC 26601
Lineage: Eukaryota; Fungi; Ascomycota; Eurotiomycetes; Eurotiales; Aspergillaceae
Description: tRNA-Und (NNN) (tRNA-Und-NNN-3-1)
Source: RNAcentral
GCACCGAUAGCUCAGGGGUAGAGCGAGGUAAGAUCAUAUGACUUCCAUUUUCAGUAUGAUUUCGAUAACUAACAAUAUAACAGGAUUUGCAGUGUCCUAGGUCAAGCGUUCAAAUCGCUUUCGGUGCU